Long non-coding RNA from Marmota monax (woodchuck), 891 nucleotides. RefSeq lists it as uncharacterized. The transcript is spliced from 2 exons. The record is from RefSeq and is a predicted model, not a curated record. NCBI's taxonomy places the organism in Eukaryota, Metazoa, Chordata, Mammalia, Rodentia, Sciuridae.
AGUGCUCCAAGGCCAAGCUGGUCUAGGUAGAGCCCUGACCAGCUGCUCUGAGCCCCACAUGCAGCACUCGGGAUGACUCCCUGAACAUCAGAUACAUAGCAUCUCUAGACUUCAAAUGGCCAUCAGAUUGAACCAAACUUCUAGACCAUCUUAGGGAGAAGGAUGUAAUUGUAAGUUUCUGAAACCUGUGCCACCAGCUUUUGUAACAGAGACAUGAUUUCUCAGCAGUGGUCCUAACACCCCUAAGAUCAUCCUGCAGAGCUGCUGACACAGCUCUUUCUCAGCCAGACAUCUUGGGAAAGAGAACUCUAGCAGCUAGAACUCAUGUUGUGGGUGUUUCCUCCAUCUCCUGCAAGAAACUUAGAAGCAGCAUGUCAUGAGUCAAGCAAGCGAGUUAGGCAAUGUCACGAGUGACUCAAACUUUAGAUAUUUCCUUCAGCUUCAGAUUCCUCGUAUUUUAUCUGGGAAUAACAGCAAUAUCUACCUCAAAGAGUUGUUUCAAGGGAUGUUUGCACCUGGGAAACAUGCUCCAGGGUCAUGCCUGAGUCUUGGAGGGUAAAAGGAAACCCUAGCUGCGAGUCAAAUGUACUGGCUUGAAAUUCGCAGUCCUUGUUCACUUCAGCCCAGACCUUACCGGAGCAGCCAGUUCUUUGUGGUAGGAAAAUCUGAGGACUUCCUGGACUGGGUUACCCACAGAGAAAUUGGGCUCACUGAGAGGCCACCCUGAGGAAAGCAGAGCUGGACUUGGACUAGCGAGGAACAAUCCAGGGGAAUUUCAUUCCUUAGAAGGGAGGGGUUGUGAUUAAACAAGAUAUAUCUUAAUUUGAGUGCAGAAGGCAGAUCAUGAAUCAAAAGCCCUUCCACCUAAUAAAAUGCCUUCAUUUUGAAUAA